GGCUGGUCUGAAUUCAGUGAGUUAUAUCAAUUAAUUCUUCACAGUCAGUUACAGAUCAAACUCCUUGUUCUAUUCUUCCCCACCCCUUCUCACUGCUGCACUUUAGUCUGGA
Aotus nancymaae (Ma's night monkey) is the source of this 112-nucleotide unclassified non-coding RNA. It matches the Rfam family "Y RNA". From Rfam's summary of the family: Y RNAs are components of the Ro ribonucleoprotein particle (Ro RNP), in association with Ro60 and La proteins. The Y RNAs and Ro60 and La proteins are well conserved, but the function of the Ro RNP is not known. The record is from Ensembl. NCBI's taxonomy places the organism in Eukaryota, Metazoa, Chordata, Mammalia, Primates, Aotidae.